GAUACCAGGUUUCCAAAGUCCAACAUGCGCUUGAGCUUGCUCAAGGGCGCAUGUUGGACCUUGGAAACCGCACAAAAUAUGAGCAUAAAAGUGGGACGCAGUCCCACGAUAUGCGAAUAUUUUGUAGGAUUGCGAGAGCACAUAGUGCGUAGCAAUCCGUAGGUAUC
RNAcentral lists this small RNA (167 nucleotides) under uncultured Acetatifactor sp. RNAcentral's name for it is "Clostridiales-1 RNA". It matches the Rfam family "Clostridiales-1 RNA". The record is from RNAcentral. Lineage: Bacteria; Bacillati; Bacillota; Clostridia; Lachnospirales; Lachnospiraceae.